CGAGGCUGAGGGGGACCGACUGUCGCCACACACGGCGACCCCGCGGCUGCCGCCAUCUUAGGCUCACAACGAGGCUGAGGGGGCCCAGGUGCUGCCCUGUGCGGGAGCAGGUGGUUCCCCUCCGUGCAAAGGGAGGGCUGGCCCUGGCUGGAGUCAGGUUCAGCUCAGUUGAUUGAGGCCUCCGCUCCUGCUGGCUGCUGUCUUCCUAAUCGGUUUUGAAUCAGAAAAAUUCAUCUCAGGGCUGACAGCAAGAUGGCAAGUUUCAAUGCCAAGAAAGAAUAUCCCAUAAAGUUACAAGCAAAUGAAAACAGGAGACUAUAAUGGAAAACUGUAGGUACCCUGAGCUAUAGCGUUUGUUACCGCAAAAGCUGUAAUUACAUGUCUAAUGUAGUGCAAAAGUUAAUCUUCAGUAUCUUUUCCAUUUGCUGCUGAGACAAGCAGACAGGCAGAUAGAGAAGUGUAAUGGAUUCUGAUGGAUAAGGAACAUAUUCAGUUCACCCAGCCCUGAUCCUCAUCUUCAGCUGAGGAAUGCUCAGCCAAACACAGGGUGGAGGUACAAAGGUGGCUUUAAAACACAUCUUGCCCCUGUCAUGGAACACUGUGUGUUAGACCAGUCCUCAGUGCAAGAUAAAGCAGACAUAAGGUCCCCUAACAGGCCAUUACCACAGCAUAACUUGCCAGGGAAAAUGGAAGACCUGGCUAUGCCACUCAUAGGUUGGAACUGGAAUAGUAACCAUUACAGUAGCUGUACACCACCAGAAGAUUCCCCUAUAUCUGACCACAAAGCCAGCUUUUCGACAGCUUCGCAGCAUUGGAGCCCUGUAAAGCUACCUUAGCAGAGGAGAGAGACUGGC
Molecule: long non-coding RNA, 854 nt
Organism: Mauremys reevesii (Reeves's turtle)
Lineage: Eukaryota; Metazoa; Chordata; Testudines; Geoemydidae
Exons: 4
Source: RefSeq, a predicted model, not a curated record